AGAGUUUGAUCCUGGCUCAGGACGAACGCUGGCGGCGUGCCUAAUGCAUGCAAGUCGAACGCAUUCUUCGGAAUGAGUGGCGCACGGCUGAGGAACACGUGACUAACCUACCCCGGUGUGGGGGAUAACGGGUCGAAAGACUCGCUAAUCCCGCAUACGAUUCACUUCGGUGAAGGAAAGCAGUAAUGCGCACUGGGCGGGGGUCGCGUCCCAUUAGGUUGUUGGUGUGGUAAUGGCGCACCAAGCCCGUGAUGGGUCUCUGGUCUGAGAGGACGACCAGACAGAUUGGGACUGAGACACGGCCCAAACUCCUACGGGGGGCAGCAGCAAGGAAUUUUCGGCAAUGGGCGCAAGCCUGACCGAGCAACGCCGCGUGGAGGAUGACGGCUCUUGGGUUGUAAACUCCUUUUGGGGGGGACGAUACUGACGGUACCCUCCGAAUCAGGCCCGGCUAACUACGUG
This 462-nucleotide ribosomal RNA is filed under the name uncultured Herpetosiphon sp. RNAcentral describes it as "bacterial SSU rRNA". It matches the Rfam family "Bacterial small subunit ribosomal RNA", at positions 8 to 507 of the family's 1533-position model. The record is from RNAcentral. Lineage: Bacteria; Bacillati; Chloroflexota; Chloroflexia; Herpetosiphonales; Herpetosiphonaceae.